CUCCGUUUGAUCCUGCCGGACCCGACUGCUAUCAGAGUGGGACUAAGCCAUGCGAGUCAACAUAGCAAUAUGUGGCAUACGGCUCAGUAACACGUAGUCAACAUGCCCAGGGGACGUGGAUAACCUCGGGAAACUGAGGAUAAACCGCGAUAGGUCAUCACUUCUGGAAUGGGUAAUGACUUAAAUCUAUAUGGCCCCUGGAUUGGACUGCGGCCGAUCAGGCUGUUGGUGAGGUAAUGGCCCACCAAACCUGUAACCGGUACGGGCUCUGAGAGGAGGAGCCCGGAGAUGGGCACUGAGACAAGGGCCCAGGCCCUAUGGGGCGCAGCAGGCGCGAAACCUCUGCAAUAGGCGAAAGCUUGACAGGGUUACUCUGAGUGAUUUCCGUUAAGGAGAUCUUUUGGCACCUCUAAAAAUGGUGCAGAAUAAGGGGUGGGCAAGUCUGGUGUCAGCCGCCGCGGUAAUACCAGCACCCCGAGUGGUCGGGACGAUUAUUGGGCCUAAAGCAUCCGUAGCCGGUUCUGCAAGUCCCCCGUUAAAUCCAGCUGCUCAACAGAUGGGCCGCGGAGGAUACUACAGAGCUAGGAGGCAGGAGAGGCAAGCGGUACUCAGUGGGUAGGGGUAAAAUCCGUUGAUCCAUUGAAGACCACCAGUGGCGAAGGCGGCUUGCCAGAAUGCGCUCGACGGUGAGGGAUGAAAGCUGGGGGAGCAAACCGGAUUAGAUACCCGGGUAGUCCCAGCCGUAAACGAUGCAGACUCGGUGAUGGGUUGGCUUCGCGCUAACCCAGUGCCGCAGGGAAGCCGUUAAGUCUGCCGCCUGGGUAGUACGGUCGCAAGACUGAAACUUAAAGGAAUUGGCGGGGGAGCA
RNAcentral lists this ribosomal RNA (868 nucleotides) under uncultured archaeon. RNAcentral describes it as "bacterial SSU rRNA". It matches the Rfam family "Archaeal small subunit ribosomal RNA", at positions 1 to 878 of the family's 1478-position model. The record is from RNAcentral.